This 1575-nucleotide ribosomal RNA is filed under the name Gymnopis multiplicata. Its description in RNAcentral is "16S ribosomal RNA". It matches the Rfam family "Bacterial large subunit ribosomal RNA". The record is from RNAcentral. Lineage: Eukaryota; Metazoa; Chordata; Amphibia; Gymnophiona; Dermophiidae.
AUUAUCAUGCUAGUUUAAAAUCACAUAUCACAAUACUUAAUAAACUAAAACAUUUUCACCAAUCCAAGUAUAGGCGAUAGAAAAGAUAUACACAUACUACAGAAAAAGUACCGCAGGGGAAAGCUGAAAAAGAAAUUAAACAAACCAUUAAAAUAAAAUAAAGCAAGAAUUAACUUCUGUACCUUUUGCAUCAUGGUCUAACAAGUCUACAUAAAGCAAAACGAACUUAAGUUUUACAUCCCGAAACUAGACGAGCUAUUUAAAAGCAAUUUAUAUAAGAAUUAAUCCGUCUCUGUGGCAAAAGAGUGGAAAGACUUUUAAAUAGAAGCAAAAUACCUAACGAGCCUAGUGAUAGCUGGUUGCUCAUUAAACGAGUUUUAGCUCAAACUUAAACCUUAUUAUAAUAAAAACUCAUUAUUAAUAAAAACUUAAGAGAUAUUCAAAAAGGGGACAGCCUUCUUGAAAUAGGAUACAACCUUCAACAAAGGGUAAUGAUCAUAACAUACAAAGGCCAUACCAUCCUAGUAGGCCUAAAAGCAGCCAUCUUACAUUAAACGCGUCACAGCAUAAACCAUUACAACCCCAAAAAUAAUGACAAUAACUCAAAACCCUAAAAACCAAAUGAGCUAUACUAUAAUAUAUAUUAAAACCAAUGUUAGAACUAGUAAUAAGAAAACAUAAUUUUCUCUACCGCAUUAGCAUAAGUCAACACGGAUUAACCACUGACAGUUAUCAAUAACAAGUCCACAAACUUUUAACAAGACACACAACUUAAACACAUUGUUAACCCAACACAGGAAUGCAAACAGAAAGAUUAAAAAAUAAAGAAGGAACUCGGCAAAUUUAGCUUCGCCUGUUUACCAAAAACAUCACCUUUAGCCAACAUACAUAUAUUAAAGGCACUGCCUGCCCAGUGACUCCAAUUAAACGGCCGCGGUAUCCUAACCGUGCAAAGGUAGCAUAAUAACUUGUCUUUUAAAUAAAGACUAGUAUGAACGGCAAGACGAAAGCUUAACUGUCUCCUUUAUCCAAUCAAUGAAACUGAACUUCCUGUACAAAAGCAGGAAUAAACCAAUAAGACGAAAAGACCCUAUGGAACUUAAAACACGUAAUUACUUUUAACAACCAUUAAAAUUCUACCCAUACUGUUUUUGGUUGGGGCAACCAUGGAGAACAAAAAUCCUCCAAGACAUUAACAUUAGUAACACAAAACAAAAGUUCAAAAACUUGACACAAGACCCAAAAAUUUUGAUCAACGAACCAAGCUACCCUAGGGAUAACAGCGCAAUCUUCUCCAAGAGUACUUAUCGCCAAGAAGGUUUACGACCUCGAUGUUGGAUCAGGAUACCCAGAUAAUGUAACCGCUAUCAAAGGUUUGUUUGUUCAACAAUUAAAAUCCUACGUGAUCUGAGUUCAGACCGGAGAAAUCCAGGUCAGUUUCUAUCUAUUUAUUAUUCUUUUCAAUACGCAAGGACCAAAAGAAUAGGACCAAUAUCCACAGACAUGUCCUUAAAAAUAAUAUGAAAUUAAACUCAAUAUAUUACAUAUACCCAACCCUCAAGAAAAUAGGGUUAG